AAAGAUGAAACAUCAAGAAAAAGAAAGAGAAGGAAAAAAGAAGGAAACAACCAGAUGGUAUCACCGUUACAAGAGGGUCUGAAACCAGGCUAAACUUUUGAUUUCCAAAACUCAGCCUUUUGGUUUAAGGUGGCCAAAUGAGGAUGCAGAGCCCAGCAUUGUGAAACCACAGAAACACUAAAGAGCUGGGGCAUGGAUGUCUUUCACACCACUUCUAGACUCCUGAGAACAGUCUUCACAUCCUCUGUAACCAGGCAAUAAAGAGUUGGGAAGUCACA
Long non-coding RNA from Myotis brandtii (Brandt's bat), 278 nucleotides. RefSeq lists it as uncharacterized. Lineage: Eukaryota; Metazoa; Chordata; Mammalia; Chiroptera; Vespertilionidae. The transcript has 2 exons. The record is from RefSeq and is a predicted model, not a curated record.